Non-coding RNA from Cricetulus griseus (Chinese hamster), 643 nucleotides. The record is from RefSeq and is a predicted model, not a curated record. Lineage: Eukaryota; Metazoa; Chordata; Mammalia; Rodentia; Cricetidae.
AAAGACGUGAGGAUAGCUUCCGGCCUAGGAGCCAAUCAGCGGGCUGCUGCGCGGCCUAGGCGCCGGCAGUAAGCUCCGUUUCCGGCUUAGCAUCAGGGUGUGGGAAGGGGCCGUCAGUGGGCGCCAUGUCUGGCCGCGAAGGUGGCAAAAAGAAGCCCCUGAAACAGCCCAAGAAGCAGGCCAAGGAGAUGGACGAGGAGGAUAAAGCUUUCAAGCAGAAACAAAAAGAGGAGCAGAAGAAACUCGAGGAGCUAAAAGCCAAGGCCGCGGGGAAGGGACCCCUGGCCACAGGUGGAAUUAAGAAAUCUGGCAAAAAGUAAGCUGUUCCUCUUAUCUUCCAUGAUGGUGACCCUCCUCCAUCCCUAUUUAAACAUCUGGAUCCCCUGCCAUAACAUCUUUGCCACCUGCAGCUAGAAUGAAGUGCUAUCUUGAAUGAAGCCUAUUGUACAUUGUAAUAAACUUUUGUAAAAAAAAUAAACAAGUAAAAUGAAUAAUACAAUGGCUCUUUGUCCUAGUGUUCAGCAAUUCCUACCUCAGCUGUGAAUUUAAACCCAGUCUGGAAUCCUACCAGAGCCUGCUGUUUCAUCUUUGUUGUACUCUGAAUUCUGUAUCACUUUGAAUUAAACAACUCAUUAAAAGGCUA